UUUGAUUCUGCUCCAAUGACUCCAUCUCAUCAUCCAUGGCCAACUCCCACUCCUUCCUGGUAUCAACCUCCAAUGCCUCCAUGAAGCAUUCAGGUUCGCCAUUAUCUGUGAGCAGCAAAUAACUAAGAGUCCCAUCAUACCUUUGAGGAGGCUUCCCAUGAGUACUACGAGUGGACCUUCUUAGUUGUGGAGGGGGUGCCAAUGCUUCAGGUUCUUGCUCUGA
RNAcentral lists this long non-coding RNA (223 nucleotides) under Phoenix dactylifera (date palm). Its description in RNAcentral is "long non-coding RNA (PDAC_LNC016579)". Lineage: Eukaryota; Viridiplantae; Streptophyta; Magnoliopsida; Arecales; Arecaceae. The record is from RNAcentral.